RNAcentral lists this ribosomal RNA (484 nucleotides) under uncultured bacterium. RNAcentral's name for it is "partial 16S ribosomal RNA". It matches the Rfam family "Bacterial small subunit ribosomal RNA", at positions 30 to 507 of the family's 1533-position model. The record is from RNAcentral.
AUUGAACGCUGGCGGCAGGCCUAACACAUGCAAUUCGAGCGGAUGAAGGGAGCUUUCUCCUGGAUUCAGCGGCGGACGGGUGAGUAAUGCCUAGGAAUCUGCCUGGUAGUGGGGUAUAACGUCCGGAAACGUGCGCUAAUACCGCAUACGUCCUGAUGGAGAAAGUGGAGGAUCUUCGGACCUCACGCUAUCAGAUGAGCCUAGGUCGGAUUAGCUAGUUGGUGGGGUAAAGGCCUACCAAAGCGACGAUCCGUAACUGGUCUGAGAGGAUGAUCAGUCACACUGGAACUGAGACACGGUCCAGACCCCUACGGGGCGCAGCAGUGGGGAAGAUUGGACAAUGGGCGAAAGCCUGCUCCAGCCAUGCCGCGUGUGUGAAGAAGGUCUUCGGAUUGUAAAGCAAUUUAAGUUGGGAGGAAGGGCAGUAAGUUAAUACCUUGCUGUUUUGACGUUACCAACAGAAUAAGCACCGGCUAACUUCGUG